This 492-nucleotide ribosomal RNA is filed under the name uncultured Eubacteriales bacterium. Its description in RNAcentral is "uncultured Clostridiales bacterium partial 16S ribosomal RNA". The record is from RNAcentral. Lineage: Bacteria; Bacillati; Bacillota; Clostridia; Eubacteriales.
CACGUAGUUAGCCGGAGCUUAUUCUAUAGGUACAGUCUUUUAUCUUCCCUAUCUAAAGCAGUUUACAAUCCGAAAACCUUCUUCCUGCACGCGGCGUCACUGCAUCAGAGUUUCCUCCAUUGUGCAAUAUUCCCGACUGCUGCCUCCCGUAGGAGUCUGGGCCGUAUCUCAGUCCCAAUGUGGCCGUUCAACCUCUCAGUCCGGCUACUGAUCGUCGACUUGGUAGGCCGUUACCCCACCAACUAUCUAAUCAGACGCAAGCCCAUCUAUUAGCGGAUUGCUCCUUUCCCACUAUCACCAUGUGGUGAUUAUGGCAUAUGCGGUAUUAGCAAUGAUUUCUCACUGUUAUUCCCCUCUAAUAGGCAGGUUGCUUACGUGUUACUCACCAGUCCGCCACUAACCGCUCCAAAAUGUAAACAUUUCGGUUAAGUCCGUUCGACUUGCAUGUCUUAUGUGCGCCGCCAGCGUUUAUCCUGAGCCAGGAUCAAACUC